This 483-nucleotide ribosomal RNA is filed under the name uncultured bacterium. Its description in RNAcentral is "partial 16S ribosomal RNA". It matches the Rfam family "Bacterial small subunit ribosomal RNA", at positions 28 to 507 of the family's 1533-position model. The record is from RNAcentral.
GACGAACGCUGGCGGCGUGCUUAACACAUGCAAGUCGAACGCUGAAGCUCAGCUUUUGUUGGGUGGAUGAGUGGCGAACGGGUGAGUAACACGUGAGUAACCUGCCCCCUUCUUUGGGAUAACGCCCGGAAACGGGUGCUAAUACUGGAUAUUCACUGGUCUUCGCAUGGGGGUUGGUGGAAAGGGUUUUUCUGGUUGGGGAUGGGCUCGCGGCCUAUCAGCUUGUUGGUGGGGUGAUGGCCUACCAAGGCUUUGACGGGUAGCCGGCCUGAGCGGGUGACCGGUCACAUUGGGACUGAGAUACGGCCCAGACUCCUACGGGAGGCAGCAGUGGGGAAUAUUGCACAAUUGUCGCAAGCCUGAUGCAGCGACGUCGCGUGAGUGAUAGAGGCCUUCGGGUUUUUAACCUCUUUCGCUCAUGGUCAAGCCGCAACAAUGGUUGUGGUGAGGGUAGUGGGUAAAGAAGCGCCGGCUAACUACGUG